Molecule: ribosomal RNA, 292 nt
Filed under: uncultured bacterium
Lineage: Bacteria
Description: partial 16S ribosomal RNA
Source: RNAcentral
GGACUACUGGGGUUUCUAAUCCUGUUCGCUCCCCACGCUUUCGCUCCUCAGCGUCAGAACAGGCCCAGAGAACCGCCUUCGCCACCGGUGUUCCUCCCGGUAUCUGCGCAUUUCACCGCUACACCGGGAAUUCCGUUCUCCCCUGCCUGCCUCAAGCCCGCCCGUAUCCACUGCACGCCCGGGGUUGAGCCCCGGGAUUUCACAGCGGACGCAACAGGCCGCCUACGAGCUCUUUACGCCCAAUAAAUCCGGACAACGCUCGCGCCCUACGUAUUACCGCGGCUGCUGGCAC